GGUGGUGAUCUUACUUAUCGUCAUUGGAACGCAGAGACAGGAAGUGAUUUCAUCUAUAAAUAGGCAAAUCCGAGCAAGAGGUGCGAUGGGAGGAUGUAGAGGGAGAUAUUCCUGCAACUGACAGUAGAGGAGAUUUUUCCUUUGGUGAAGUCUGGAAACCAUGUAACCAUUACAGUGCCUCCACCUCACUCCCUGAAACUCAAAAGAAAAAAUUAAAAGAUUCAAGAAAUUUCCAACAAGAUCAUUGAUCUGCUAUCAGGAGAGGUUCCUAUAAGGUGUCAGGAUGUCACUGUCUAUUUCUCCAUG
Long non-coding RNA from Rana temporaria (common frog), 306 nucleotides. RefSeq lists it as uncharacterized. NCBI's taxonomy places the organism in Eukaryota, Metazoa, Chordata, Amphibia, Anura, Ranidae. The record is from RefSeq and is a predicted model, not a curated record. The transcript is spliced from 3 exons.